Molecule: long non-coding RNA, 280 nt
Filed under: Elaeis guineensis (African oil palm)
Lineage: Eukaryota; Viridiplantae; Streptophyta; Magnoliopsida; Arecales; Arecaceae
Description: long non-coding RNA (EGUI_LNC014009)
Source: RNAcentral
CUAUUGUUAAUGGCAUUGCAAUCGAAAUUAACAUUGAGAUAGAUCGUGGGUAGGGCCUUUGGAAUAUGAUAUUGUUGAGUGGGUGUCUGACCAGGACAACAUCUUUCAGGACCUUUUCGAUACUGCAUGAUGCAAUAGGAAGAAAGAAAAAAUAAAACAAAAAAUAAUCAAAUAUGUGAAUCAGCCAAAAAAAGGACUCGCUUCCACGGGACAUGCAAACUUCACUAUGAAAAAAAGAAAUAUUAUAAAAGAAGAUCUCACUUUCAACUCUCGUACACCC